UGCAAGUCGAACGACGUUCUGAUUAUUGAAAGGUGCUUGCAUCUUGAUUUAAUUUGGAACGAGUGGCGGACGGGUGAGUAACACGUGGGUAACCUGCCCUUAAGUGGGGGAUAACAUUUGGAAACAGAUGCUAAUACCGCAUAAAUCCAAGAACCGCAUGGUUCUUGGCUGGAAGAUGGCGUAAGCUAUCGCUUUUGGAUGGACCCGCGGCGUAUUAGCUAGUUGGUGAGGUAACGGCUCACCAAGGCAAUGAUACGUAGCCGAACUGAGAGGUUGAUCGGCCACAUUGGGACUGAGACACGGCCCAAACUCCUACGGGAGGCAGCAGUAGGGAAUCUUCCACAAUGGACGCAAGUCUGAUGGAGCGACGCCGCGUGAGUGAAGAAGGCUUUCGGGUCGUAAAACUCUGUUGUUGGAGAAGAAUGGUCGGCAGAGUAACUGUUGUCGGCGUGACGGUAUCCAACCAGAAAGCCACGGCUAACUACGUGCCAGCAGCCGCGGUAAUACGUAGGUGGCAAGCGUUAUCCGGAUUUAUUGGGCGUAAAGCGAGCGCAGGUGGUUUUUUAAGUCUGAUGUGAAAGCCCUCGGCUUAACCGAGGAAGUGCAUCGGAAACUGG
Molecule: ribosomal RNA, 617 nt
Filed under: uncultured Bacilli bacterium
Lineage: Bacteria; Bacillati; Bacillota; Bacilli
Description: bacterial SSU rRNA
Rfam family: Bacterial small subunit ribosomal RNA
Source: RNAcentral